Oncorhynchus masou masou (cherry salmon) is the source of this 169-nucleotide long non-coding RNA. RefSeq lists it as uncharacterized. The record is from RefSeq and is a predicted model, not a curated record. The transcript is spliced from 3 exons. NCBI's taxonomy places the organism in Eukaryota, Metazoa, Chordata, Actinopteri, Salmoniformes, Salmonidae.
GUAAACACACCCCUGCCAUCAUCAAGGGCCAUCGCCACUUAAGCUACGGAGGAUCCGUCCCACCUGAGAACAUCACCAUUCAACAGUUUUAUGACCUUACACCUACCAAGAAAAGUAACGUCCGCCUCAACGACCAGCUUAUACCAAAACCAACGGACAUCAACAUCGC